Molecule: transfer RNA, 58 nt
Filed under: Plicosepalus curviflorus
Lineage: Eukaryota; Viridiplantae; Streptophyta; Magnoliopsida; Santalales; Loranthaceae
Description: tRNA-Ala
Source: RNAcentral
CGAGCUAUUAGCUCAGUGGUAGAGCGCGCCCCUGAUAGAGGCGGUGGUUUACCCUGUG